Long non-coding RNA from Pocillopora damicornis (cauliflower coral), 242 nucleotides. The record is from RefSeq and is a predicted model, not a curated record. Lineage: Eukaryota; Metazoa; Cnidaria; Anthozoa; Scleractinia; Pocilloporidae.
AGAUCAGGAACAGGGAGACGAUGGAAUGUUAGAAAUGGUGGAAAUGGUGCAACUUGGACAAGCAGAUCCAGAGCAAGGUGCAGGCCAAGUUAACGAGGAAGAACACGUGCUGCCGGCUGAAGCAGCUCAAGAAGAAGAAGUACAUUUGUUGAUUGGCGGAGAAGAAAAAGACGAAGAUGAGGGCAACGGAGGAAAUUUGCAAAUGGUUGUUGUGGAAGUUCAUCCAUACAAAGGACCACGAG